GGGGCUGAUUCAGGAUUCGACAGGAUCAAGAAGGCUCGUGGAGCAUGCCGAGGGGCGGUUUGCCUCGUAAAAAGCCGCAAAAAAAUAGUCGCAAACGACGAAAACUACGCACUAGCAGCUUAAUAACCUGCUGAGAGCCUGCCCUCCUAGCCUCCGCCUGUAGGACGGGGAAUCAGGCAGUCAAACCCAAACAGGAUCGCGUGGAUGCUUUGACUCGAUAGCUGAAGCGCUAAAGAUAAUUCGGGUAUGUCUUUUUGUAGCGUGUCUAUUCGCAGCACACUGACGAGAUUAAAGAUAGACUAAGCAUGUAGCGCCAUUAGUUAGACUGAUUUUGGACGCGGGUUCAACUCCCGCCAGCUCCACCA
This 365-nucleotide transfer-messenger RNA is filed under the name Enterovibrio nigricans. Its description in RNAcentral is "Standard tmRNA". It matches the Rfam family "transfer-messenger RNA". Rfam says of the family: Bacterial tmRNA, also known as 10Sa RNA or SsrA, is named for its dual tRNA and mRNA-like properties. Lineage: Bacteria; Pseudomonadati; Pseudomonadota; Gammaproteobacteria; Vibrionales; Vibrionaceae. The record is from RNAcentral.